UCUUUAUGUAGUUCACUAGAACAUGAUUCACUCUAUACAUGCUGAAACAGGGGCUUGCAUUGAGCAACCUUGAUAUUUAUCUCCAUCUUCUGAACUUUACUUGUACAUUUUAAUUCUGCAACUUAAUUGUGCUAUUUUUGUUAGAGGGAUUGUCUAAGAGAACAGGAGUGUUGGACAUCGUGAUGCUUUACUUCUUUUCUGUACACUUUGUAAGGUUUGUGUUUCUAUCAUCUUAUUAUUUUGUAGUUCAGAGUUGUCUGUACCACCAGAUUGACCAAAUUAUAAAAGGUGUUUGCAGAUGGGUAUGAGGGAGGAUAAUGAUGAAGUUACAAGCAAAACUCGCAUUCUAUCUUUGGAGCUUCUGCAGGUCAGUUCGGCUAAUCUUUCUGUACAUUGAUUAUUGCAUGCUUGUUCUGGUGGUUUGGAGAAAAGGAAAGGUCUUCUUGUUUUCACUCCAUCUCAAUGGUUGAGAAUUUUCAAUGAUGCUAACUCUUUGAAAUAAUGUCGUCUUUUACUCAUGUAUUCUUGUAGUUUUUUAACUCUGAAACUUUUGCUCUUAUUUAGAAUCUAUUAGUGUAGGGCAGGCGUGGGCUAAGGAUGUGGACUAAUUGGAGUUUAUCUAUCUAUUUAUUUGAUUUAUUUAAUAGAGUUGGUUAUUUAGUUGGACUGGGGUAUCUAUGAAGCCCUAUGUUGGAAUUUACGGUACUUCAGUAGGAAGAUAGGAGUUUAGUAGUCAGCUUUUGAGUCAGCAGUUGUCCGAGACAUGUUCACCUGUUGGUCUGUUUACUUUCUGUUAUGUUCUUUAGUAACACUGUUUUUAUGUUUUGGUGCAAUCAUUUGCCUUGAUUGCCCCUUAACUCUACCCUCCAUAGAUUUAGAUAGUGCGAGUACUGCUUUACUCGGGGUUAGCGUUCAGUUGCUUUGUUUAUUAUAACCCAUUUUUGGACCAACCUGGGUGAACUGAAUUACAUUGAAAUCCUUUUGAAUCAAACCAGUUUAGUGGAAGAGCAAACUACCAAAUAGAUUCUAAAUAAUCUGAUUCUUGUUAUUAGGUUUCCUUUCUUUUUCCCCACAGGCUAGUUCAAUUGGUCAAUAAUAUUAUCAUAAAUGUUGCUUUGAUCAGUACUCUGCAGGAUGUUUUGUUGUACAUUUAUGUUUUACCCAACUACUUGGGUCUGACAUGAAAAGUAUGGUCUUCAAGUAGGUUUAGGACAUAAAUCAACUGAAUCAUAUAGACUACUUUGUUAGCUGAAUUUAUUGGUUUGUCUGGAGAAACAAUUGUGAAUGCAUUCAAUUCUCCUAUGUCGUUUCUGGACAGGUGCAGUUAUGCCAGACCAUCGUUUCUUCUUACCUGGGAGCAAGCGACCAUUUUCGCAAGUGGUAUAUUACUAUACAGCUUCAGUAUACUUUCCUAUUUGUAAGACACUGUUGUUAAUCAAGAAACUAAGCUUACUGUUCAUUUAUUGUAUUCAAGGCCACAACCCUCUCUCUGUGGAGUACCAAGGGUUGUCACGAGUGCCUGCAGAAAGCUGGUAACUCUUUGAUUCUGCUCCAUUUCCAAGGGUUUGUGGUGGAUUAAAUGAGUCGUACGUUGAGCUGAAGAGGCUUGUGAAUUCACAAGAAAAGUUGUACCAUAUGGCUAGCUAGUUGCAUAUUUAAUAUGUUUAGUAUUUUUGUAAGGCAUAAUAGUAUAGAUAGAGCAGUUGUUGAAUUUUGACUAUAUUCAAAUCUUGUAUGAAUUCUUUUUUAUGAUAAUAAUAUAAAAUUAAAUA
This is a long non-coding RNA of Salvia miltiorrhiza (redroot sage), 1772 nucleotides long. RefSeq lists it as uncharacterized. The record is from RefSeq and is a predicted model, not a curated record. NCBI's taxonomy places the organism in Eukaryota, Viridiplantae, Streptophyta, Magnoliopsida, Lamiales, Lamiaceae. The transcript is spliced from 2 exons.